Molecule: ribosomal RNA, 253 nt
Filed under: uncultured bacterium
Lineage: Bacteria
Description: partial 16S ribosomal RNA
Rfam family: Bacterial small subunit ribosomal RNA
Source: RNAcentral
UACGUAGGGUGCUAGCGUUGUUCGGAAUUACUGGGCGUAAAGCGCACGUAGGCGGCUUUGUAAGUUAGAGGUGAAAGCCCGGGGCUCAACUCCGGAACUGCCUUUAAGACUGCAUCGCUUGAAUCCAGGAGAGGUGAGUGGAAUUCCGAGUGUAGAGGUGAAAUUCGUAGAUAUUCGGAAGAACACCAGUGGCGAAGGCGGCUCACUGGACUGGUAUUGACGCUGAGGUGCGAAAGCGUGGGGAGCAAACAGG